RNAcentral lists this ribosomal RNA (1320 nucleotides) under Triticum aestivum (bread wheat). RNAcentral describes it as "partial small subunit ribosomal RNA". The record is from RNAcentral. Lineage: Eukaryota; Viridiplantae; Streptophyta; Magnoliopsida; Poales; Poaceae.
AUGAAUCCCGUCCCCGCCGCCGACGACGACGGCCACCGCCGCUCGCCUUCACCCGGCGCGCCCGCCCCGGACCCAUACGACGGCGGCAGCGGGUGGGGGAGCGACAAGCAGCCGACGCGCGCGGAGGAGGGCCGCCCCGUCGGGAAGGCCGGCAUGGAACCCUCGCCGUCCACCAUCUCCGACGACGGCGGCGACCAAGAAGACGGCGGCAGCGACGACCUGACGCGCGCCGUGUCCCUGCUGUCGCUCGCGGAGGCGGGGCUCACCCUCACCGCCGGGAAGCCUGGGUCCGCCCCCCGCACCGUAGAUCCGUCGCCGCCGGCCUCCACCGUCUCCUCCCAUGGUCACCAAGGUACCCAGCCGCAUUCCCCGCUCAUCACACCUGCGAGUGGUUCCACGCGUGGCUCGGAACCAGAUGACGAUGAUCUCGCCGGCGUGAACAAGCGAACGCACGCGAGGUUCCUCGUCACCCACGCCGAGGCCGGGCUCAUCAUCGGGGCGGGCGGGUCCACCAUUGCUGCCAUUGAGGCCCGCUCCGGCGCCCGGGUCAGGCUCUCCCGCCACGACCAGCUCCUCCCCGGCACUGACCGCAGGGUUGUGCUCGUCUACGGCCUCCUCAGCCAGGUCAUGGAGGCCAUGGAGCUACUCCUCCAAAGGCUCCUACUCUACCAGGUUCAGGGUGACCAGGCGUCCGACUCUGAGGCCACGCUAGUGCUGGUGGUGCCUCAGCCCUGCUGCGGCGCGCUGAUUGGCAAAGGAGGAUCUGUUAUCAAGUCAUUCACUGAAGCUUCAGAAACUGCAAUUCAGGUCUCACCACAGAACAGCUCCUAUGGCUUCAACGACAGGCUGGUCACCAUCACAGGGCCCUUGGAUAAUCGAUUGCGAGCAGUAUUUCUGAUAAUAUUCGAGCUGCUAGAGGACAUUCGUUAUUUGUUUCCCUGUGCAGCUGCUAUGCCAAACACUCCAAUGAGAUCACCUGUCAACAAGGAUGCCCAAGAAUCUGUCACUAUUAGUGUUGCUGAUGAGCAUAUGGGUGCUGUUAUUGGUCGUGGUGGAAGGAUUAUCAAUGAGAUCAGCAAGGUUAGCGGAGCAUGGAUCGACAUCUCAGGCAAGGGGGAGUUCAUACCCGGGACCCGCGACAGGGAGGUGACUAUGAGGGGCACAUCAGAGGCGAUCCGCGCAGCUGAGGCGAUUAUCAUGCACUGCGUCUCCGUGGCCAGCGGCAACUUCACGGGGCGGAGGGCGGAGGGCAGAAGUGGCAAGGGUCUGCUUAGCAGGCUGGAUGAGGAGGAUGCUGAUGCAUCGGCUGAAUCUGAGUGA